This 258-nucleotide ribosomal RNA is filed under the name Triticum aestivum (bread wheat). Its description in RNAcentral is "partial small subunit ribosomal RNA". The record is from RNAcentral. Lineage: Eukaryota; Viridiplantae; Streptophyta; Magnoliopsida; Poales; Poaceae.
AUGCCUCUGUCAGAGAGAAGGUUGAGACUUGCUGAUUUCCAAGAGUUGCUUGACAAGUUGAUUAAGAAAAUCGCUGCCUGGAAGGCUAGGUGGAUUUCUUCCACGGGCAGAAUGGUGCUUGUAAGGUUCGUCCUCUCGGCCAUGCCCAUCUUCCUCCUGCUGGCAGUGCACCAACCGAAGUGGGUGAUUAAGCAAAUUGACAAACUCCGUCGGGCAUUCUUAUGGGCGGGUUCCGACACCGUAUGUGGAGGGAAGUGU